RNAcentral lists this transfer RNA (65 nucleotides) under Harmonia axyridis. RNAcentral describes it as "tRNA-Ser". The record is from RNAcentral. Lineage: Eukaryota; Metazoa; Arthropoda; Insecta; Coleoptera; Coccinellidae.
AAUCAAUGAGCUUGAAAAGCAUAUAUUUUGAAAAUAUAAGAAAGAAUUUAAAUUUCUAUUGAUUU